Molecule: ribosomal RNA, 245 nt
Filed under: uncultured Gemmata sp.
Lineage: Bacteria; Pseudomonadati; Planctomycetota; Planctomycetia; Gemmatales; Gemmataceae
Description: partial 16S ribosomal RNA
Rfam family: Bacterial small subunit ribosomal RNA
Source: RNAcentral
GACGAACCGUGCGAACGUUGUUCGGAAUCACUGGGCUUAAAGGGCGCGUAGGCGGCGCGCGGGGUCAGGGGUGAAAUCUUUCGGCUCAACCGGAAAAGUGCCUCUGAUACCGGCGUGCUCGAGGGAGGUAGGGGCAUGUGGAACUUCCGGUGGAGCGGUGAAAUGCGUUGAUAUCGGAAGGAACGCCGGUGGCGAAAGCGACGUGCUGGACCUCUACUGACGCUGAGGCGCGAAAGCCAGGGGAG